GACGAACGCUGGCGGCGUGCUUAACACAUGCAAGUCGAACGGAAAGACCCUGCUUUUGUGGGGUGCUCGAGUGGCGAACGGGUGAGUAACACGUGAGUAACCUGCCCUUGACUUUGGGAUAACUUCAGGAAACUGGGGCUAAUACCGGAUAGGAGCUCCUGAUGCAUGGUGGGGGUUGGAAAGUUUCGGCGGAUGGGGAUGGACUCGCGGCUUAUCAGCUUGUUGGUGGGGUAGUGGCUUACCAAGGCUUUGACGGGUAGCCGGCCUGAGAGGGUGACCGGCCACAUUGGGACUGAGAUACGGCCCAGACUCCUACGGGAGGCAGCAGUGGGGAAUAUUGCACAAUGGGCGGAAGCCUGAUGCAGCAACGCCGCGUGCGGGAUGACGGCCUUCGGGUUGUAAACCGCUUUCGCCUGUGACGAAGCGUGAGUGACGGUAAUGGGUAAAGAAGCACCGGCUAACUACGUG
This 468-nucleotide ribosomal RNA is filed under the name uncultured bacterium. RNAcentral describes it as "partial 16S ribosomal RNA". It matches the Rfam family "Bacterial small subunit ribosomal RNA", at positions 28 to 507 of the family's 1533-position model. The record is from RNAcentral.